CAGCCGCCGCGGUAAUACGAAGGGUGCAAGCGUUAAUCGGAAUUACUGGGCGUAAAGCGUGCGUAGGCGGUGAGUUAAGUCUGCUGUGAAAUCCCCGGGCUCAACCUGGGAAUGGCAGUGGAUACUGGCUCGCUAGAGUGUGUCAGAGGAUGGUGGAAUUCCCGGUGUAGCGGUGAAAUGCGUAGAGAUCGGGAGGAACAUCAGUGGCGAAGGCGGCCAUCUGGGACAACACUGACGCUGAGGCACGAAAGCGUGGGGAGCGAACAGGAUUAGAUACCCGUGUAGUCCCUGUCUCUUAUAC
RNAcentral lists this ribosomal RNA (301 nucleotides) under uncultured bacterium. RNAcentral describes it as "partial 16S ribosomal RNA". It matches the Rfam family "Bacterial small subunit ribosomal RNA", at positions 509 to 807 of the family's 1533-position model. The record is from RNAcentral.